This 222-nucleotide ribosomal RNA is filed under the name uncultured Glomeromycotina. Its description in RNAcentral is "partial 18S ribosomal RNA". The stretch from base 46 to 222 matches the Rfam family "Eukaryotic small subunit ribosomal RNA", at positions 693 to 871 of the family's 1831-position model. Lineage: Eukaryota; Fungi; Glomeromycota. The record is from RNAcentral.
GAAUCAAUUUGUUGGUCGUGCCUCGGUACGUACUGGUAUUAUUGGUUUCUACCUUCUGAAGAACCUUGAUGUCAUUAAUUUGGUGUCUUGGGGAAUCAGGACUGUUACUUUGAAAAAUUAGGAGUGUUUAAAGCAAGCAUACGCUUGAAUACAUUAGCAUGGAAUAAUGAAAUAGGACGUUUGAUUCUAUUUUGUUGAUUUCUAGGAUCGACGUAAUGAUUA